RNAcentral lists this transfer RNA (74 nucleotides) under Persicirhabdus sediminis. It matches the Rfam family "tRNA". Rfam says of the family: Transfer RNA (tRNA) molecules are approximately 80 nucleotides in length. Their secondary structure includes four short double-helical elements and three loops (D, anti-codon, and T loops). Lineage: Bacteria; Pseudomonadati; Verrucomicrobiota; Verrucomicrobiia; Verrucomicrobiales; Verrucomicrobiaceae. The record is from Rfam by way of RNAcentral. RNAcentral also lists the same sequence under 3 other names.
CGGGGAGUAGCUCAGCUUGGUAGAGCGCUGCGUUUGGGACGCAGAUGUCGCAGGUUCGAAUCCUGUCUCCCCGA